This 259-nucleotide ribosomal RNA is filed under the name Funneliformis sp. RNAcentral describes it as "partial internal transcribed spacer 2". It matches the Rfam family "Eukaryotic small subunit ribosomal RNA", at positions 624 to 886 of the family's 1831-position model. Lineage: Eukaryota; Fungi; Glomeromycota; Glomeromycetes; Glomerales; Glomeraceae. The record is from RNAcentral. RNAcentral also lists the same sequence under 2 other names.
AAGCUCGUAGUUGAAUUUCGGGAUCAAUAUUUCGGUCAUGCCGUUGGUAUGCACUGUUAUCAUUGAUUUCUCACCUUCUAAAGAACCGUAAUGCCAUUAAUUUGGUGUUACGGGGAAUUAGGACUGUUACCUUGAAAAAAUUAGAGUGUUUAAAGCAGGCUCACGCUUGAAUACAUUAGCAUGGAAUAAUGAAAUAGGACAUCCGAUUCUAUUUUGUUGGUUUCUAGGAUCGAUGUAAUGAUUAAUAGGGAUAGUUGGG